This 431-nucleotide ribosomal RNA is filed under the name uncultured bacterium. RNAcentral describes it as "partial 16S ribosomal RNA". It matches the Rfam family "Bacterial small subunit ribosomal RNA", at positions 29 to 507 of the family's 1533-position model. The record is from RNAcentral.
AACGAACGCUGGCGGCAGGCUUAACACAUGCAAGUCGAGCGCCUCGCCAGAGGAGCGGCCGACGGGUGCGUAACGCGUGGGAACGUACCCUUAUCUUCGGAAUAGCUCUGGGAAACUGGAAGUAAUACCGAAUGUGCCCUUAGGGGGAAAGAUUUAUCGGAUAAGGAUCGGCCCGCGUUGGAUUAGCUAGUUGGUGGGGUAAAGGCCUACCAAGGCGACGAUCCAUAGCUGGUCUGAGAGGAUGAUCAGCCACAUUGGGACUGAGACACGGCCCAAACUCCUACGGGAGGCAGCAGUGGGGAAUAUUGGACAAUGGGCGCAAGCCUGAUCCAGCCAUGCCGCGUGAGUGAUGAAGGCCUUAGGGUUGUAAAGCUCUUUCACCGGAGAAGAUAAUGACGGUAUCCGGAGAAGAAGCCCCGGCUAACUUCGUG